RNAcentral lists this ribosomal RNA (253 nucleotides) under uncultured bacterium. Its description in RNAcentral is "partial 16S ribosomal RNA". It matches the Rfam family "Bacterial small subunit ribosomal RNA", at positions 524 to 776 of the family's 1533-position model. The record is from RNAcentral.
GACGUAGGGCGCGAGCGUUGUCCGGAUUUAUUGGGCGUAAAGGGCGCGUAGGCGGCUCUGCACGUUCGUUGUGAAAUCGCCCGGCUCAACUGGGCGGGGUCAGCGGAUACGGCAGAGCUUGAGCAAGCUAGGGGGCAAUGGAAUUCCCGGUGUAGUGGUGGAAUGCGUAGAUAUCAGGAGGAACACCCAUAGCGAAGGCAGCUUGCUGGGACGUUACUGACGCUAAGGCGCGAAAGCGUGGGGAGCGAACAGG